Molecule: long non-coding RNA, 150 nt
Organism: Rhodamnia argentea
Lineage: Eukaryota; Viridiplantae; Streptophyta; Magnoliopsida; Myrtales; Myrtaceae
Exons: 3
Source: RefSeq, a predicted model, not a curated record
UUGGGAGAGUUUCUGCAUUGCACUUUCCCAUGCAGGUUCCUAUCUUCCACAUAAGAAUGAGCCAAACACUUCGAGGGCUAACGGAAGGCCUUUCGCGUAAUGCACUGCUCUAUCUAUGAGAUCCCUUCUUAUCUCAACUUUCUUGCUAUU